GCACAUUGAUAUAUUUAUUAAAUUUGUAAUGAAUUUGAGUGUUUUGUUACUCUUAAAUUUGAAGAAUUUAAUGGAUAUUCAUGGUAUUAUGAAAGUUGGGUUUUCAACAAAUGCAUAUGUUAUAUCGAAGAGAAAUGUUUUGAUCUUCUUAGAAAACAGAACAUCACAUGCUCUAGAAUUAAAUAACAACAACCUUAUACUCAAAAGUAAACUAAAUAUGACAAAUCUGACGAUGGCAUGUGUUCUUAUCGUCGUCUUUACCCGCCAACAGCUAAGGUGGCUCCAACGGCCAUAGCAAUAAGCUCCUCCAUCUUUAGUGUCAUCAACAUGACAGUCUUCGACACAUUGUCUGUAUUUUUACCGAUCAAUUUCUUCAUCAUCGUUGUGCCGUCGGUACAAACCAUGACGUCAUAGUUGGCAAAGUCCGGCGAAUCCUUGAGUUCAAGUUUAGCACUUUUGAGAGAUAUGCUAAUCCCUCUGAAGGCAUUCUGAAUCGUCGCAAAAUCCCUCUUCAA
RNAcentral lists this long non-coding RNA (515 nucleotides) under Capsella grandiflora. Its description in RNAcentral is "long non-coding RNA (CGRA_LNC001710)". The record is from RNAcentral. Lineage: Eukaryota; Viridiplantae; Streptophyta; Magnoliopsida; Brassicales; Brassicaceae.